Molecule: small RNA, 2951 nt
Filed under: Pongo abelii (Sumatran orangutan)
Lineage: Eukaryota; Metazoa; Chordata; Mammalia; Primates; Hominidae
Description: retained intron
Source: RNAcentral
GGUGAGUUUUGCCGCAGGACACCUCUGUGGGGCCAGGGGAAGUGCCGGCCCAAGCUCCGAGGCCCACCUGGCGCAGUGCAGUGAUGCCCCUCCUUGCCCCCGCCGCAGCCACGGUGUUCCUGGAGAUCUGGAAGCGGCAGCGCGCCCGCGUGGUCCUGCACUGGGACCUGUACGUGUGGGACGAGGAACAGGAGGAAAUGGCACUUCAGCUCAUUAACUGCCCCGACUACAAGCUCCGGCCAUACCAGCACUCCUACCUACGCAGCACCAUCAUCCUCGUCCUGACCCUGCUCAUGAUCUGCCUCAUGAUCGGCAUGGCCCACAUCCUGGUGGUCUACCGCGUCCUGGCCUCCGAGCUCUUCAGCAGCUCGGCCGUGCCCUUCCUGGAGGAGCAGGUGACCACGGCAGUGGUGGUGACCGGAGCCCUGGUGCACUAUGUGACCAUCGUCAUCAUGACCAAGGUGGGGCCGGGAGCGGGGCAGGCCCAAGCUGGGGGGUCCACCGGAGCCCCAGUGAGCACAUUCGGUGCCCUCCUCCGCAGAUCAACAGGCGCGUGGCCCUGAAGCUUUGUGACUUCGAGAUGCCCAGGACCUUCUCGGAGCGAGAGAGCAGGUUCACCAUCCGCUUCUUCACGCUGCAGUUCUUCACCCAUUUCUCGUCUCUCAUCUACAUCGCCUUCAUCCUGGGCAGGAUCAACGGCCACCCCGGGAAGUCCACGCGCCUGGCGGGCUUGUGGAAGCUGGAAGAGUGCCACGCCAGCGGCUGCAUGAUGGACCUCUUCGUGCAGAUGGCCAUCAUCAUGGGCCUGAAGCAGACGCUCAGCAACUGUGUCGAGUACCUGGUCCCGUGGGUGACCCACAAGUGCCGCUCUCUGCGGGCCUCCGAAUCCGGGCACCUGCCCCGGGACCCCGAGCUCAGGGACUGGCGGCGCAACUACCUUCUGAACCCUGUCAACACCUUCAGCCUGUUCGACGAGUUCAUGGAGAUGAUGAUCCAGUACGGCUUCACCACCAUCUUCGUGGCCGCCUUCCCGCUGGCGCCGCUGCUCGCGCUCUUCAGCAACCUCGUGGAGAUCCGCCUGGACGCCAUCAAGAUGGUCUGGCUGCAGCGGCGCCUGGUGCCGCGCAAGGCCAAGGACAUCGGUCAGGCCCGGCGGGCGCAGGAGGGGCGGGAACCGGGCGGCCUCAGGCCUGUGGGCUUCCCGCUGGCCAGGCCGGCUCACCUGGAAAGAAUAAUCUCUCCGAUCUCACGCCGCGGACAGUCCCCAGCCCUUCUCCGACGGCCUCGGAUGCGGGUUGAGCCUGGGUGGGAGGGUCCCAGGAGUGGGCGGGGCCGGGCGCUUUGUAGGCUCCUCCCACAAACCGUCAGGCUCUUAGAGGGGCUUGACGCCCCCAAGGCGGAGCCAGGUUCUGCCAGUGGCUGGGGCAGGAACAGAGCAGCCGGCCUCUGUCCCAAGACUGGCCACGCUGAGACGGACAGGCAGCAGGGGAGCGACGGGGGCUGUGGCGCUGGAUGUGGGGAAAGGGAGAGUGGUGUUAGGGAGGCCCCCAGUCUAGGGCCCAGGUUACAAGGUCUUACCCUGGGGUGGGAACCCAGGAGGUGGAGUGGCUGGGGGGCAGCUGAGAAGUUCAGGAAGAUGGAGGGAUGAGGAUUCCCAGGUCCCUCCCUGUCCAUGUCAGGGUGAGGGGUGCAGGAGCGCGGAGGCCAUGCUCUGCCAUGGCUGGGGACUUCCUUGUGAAUACUGUAGCCCUAGGGCUGCAAGGGGACACCAUGCACAGAGACAUGGCAGGCCCCAUGUUGGCUGGGGGUGGGGGUGGGGGCAGAACCAGCCGAGGGAGGCUGAGUCAGACCACUUGCCCACUGCUCUGGUGCAGGGACCUGGCUGCAGGUGCUGGAGACCAUCGGUGUGCUGGCGGUCAUUGCCAACGGGAUGGUCAUUGCCUUCACAUCUGAGUUCAUCCCCCGAGUGGUCUACAAGUACCGCUAUAGCCCAUGCCUGAAAGAAGGCAACUCUACCGUCGACUGCCUCAAGGGCUACGUCAACCACAGCCUGUCCGUCUUCCACACCAAGGACUUCCAGGACCCUGAUGGGAUUGAGGCCUCAGAAAACGUGACUCUGUGCAGGUUUGGAACUCCCCAUCCCCCAAGAAUGCCCUCUGAACUCCUGACCCCUGACCUCAGGUACUUCCUUACCCCAGAUACAGGGACUACCGCAAUCCCCCCGAUUACAACCUCUCGGAGCAGUUCUGGUUCCUCCUGGCCAUCCGCCUGGCCUUCGUCAUCCUCUUUGAGCACGUAGCCUUGUGCAUCAAGCUCAUUGCCUCCUGGUUCGUGCCCGACAUCCCUCAGUCGGUGAAGAACAAGGUUCUGGAGGUGAAGUACCAGAGGCUGCGUGAGAAGAUGUGGCAUGGAAGGCAGAGGCUGGGCGGGGUGGGGGCAGGCUCUCGGCCCCCGAUGCCUGCCCAUCCCACCCCAGCCUCCAUCUUCAGUGCCAGGAGCACAGACGUGUAGGGCCAGAGCCCGUCCAGAGGCCACCAGGAGCUGAGACAGUGCCACCACCAGCACCUCCCACAAGCCCACUGCUGUGUGUGUUGAGGGGUGCUGUGAGAAGGCUGUGCUCAUGGGGGGCCGCAGGAGUCCCCUGUAUGUUCAGGGCUGUGAGCUGCCGCCCUAUUCCGCCUGCUCCAUCUUUGUGGGGGCUCUCAGGCUUGGCACAGCCCUGACUUGAACUCUGGGUGACCCCUGGCACCCACAGAACGGGGAGUGAGGACUCCUCAGGCAGCCACAAGGCAGGAAAACUGGCGCAAGUUUCCUGGGCCUCCCUCUGACUUCUGGGCGCCAGAUCCUGCCGUGCCCCCAUCCUGGCUGUUGGGGGUGUCCUGGGCCCACCUCGCUGGCCUGUUCCCUUCGGCCAGCCUCAGUUUCUGUAAUAAAAUUAAACCUGCCUGUCU